GGUAUCGCCAAGCGGUAAGGCAGCGGACUUUGACUCCGUUAUUCCUAGGUUCAAAUCGUGUU
Molecule: transfer RNA, 62 nt
Filed under: Diacronema lutheri
Lineage: Eukaryota; Haptophyta; Pavlovophyceae; Pavlovales; Pavlovaceae
Source: RNAcentral